This 1476-nucleotide ribosomal RNA is filed under the name Triticum aestivum (bread wheat). Its description in RNAcentral is "partial small subunit ribosomal RNA". The record is from RNAcentral. Lineage: Eukaryota; Viridiplantae; Streptophyta; Magnoliopsida; Poales; Poaceae.
AUGGCUGAGAAGAAGCCGAGGAUUGUCAUAGUGGGUGCGGGCAUAGCCGGACUCUCGGCGGCGCAGCAGCUAUGCGGCGCGGGCCGGGACAAGUUCGAGGUGGUGGUGGUGGAGGCUGGCUGCCGCGCUGGCGGCCGAGUAUACACGUCCGAGUUCGCCGGCCAUCGUCUCGAGAUGGGCGCUACGUGGGUGCAGGGCAUCGUCGGGAGUCCCGUGUACGCGAUGGCGCGGGAAGCAGGCGCGCUCCGGGAGGAGGCCGCAGACCUCCCGUACGAGCGCAUGGACGGGUUCCCUGACAGCGUCCUGACUGUCGCCGAGGGAGGCGACGUCGUCGACGCGGACACGGUGGCCAAGCCGAUCGAGGACCUGUACAGGGGCAUGAUGAAGGCCGCCCGUGCCGGUGAGGCUGUCGGCGGAGGGGGAGUGGAGGAAUACCUGCGCCGGGGGCUGCGAGCGUACCAGGCGGCGCGCCCGGUCGGUAGCAAGGAGCUGGAGGAGAUCGAGGAGGCUCUGCUUUCCAUGCACAUCAACCGGGAGCGCACGGACACCUCCGCCGAUGAUCUCGGCGACCUGGACCUCGCGGCCGAGGGCGAGUACCGCGACUUCCCCGGCGACCACGUCACGAUCCCCAGCGGAUACACCCGCGUGGUCGAGCACCUCGUCGCCGCGCUCCCCGCCCGGUACUUGCGCCUCCACUUCGGCGAUGAGGCGACGACGACGCUCACCGCUGACCAUGUCAUCCUCACAGUCUCGCUGGGCGUCCUCAAGGCGAGCAUCGACGAGGACGUGUCCGCUACGGGCGCAAUCGCCUUCGACCCGCCGCUCCCAGAGUUCAAGCGUGAGGCCGUCGCGCGGCUGGGAUUCGGUGUCGUGGACAAGCUGUUCGUCGAGGUGGAGGCCGUGGAGACGCCGGAGCUGGACGGCGGCGACGAGCAGCUAGCCAGUGCGGCCCCGCCGGCUUUCCCGUUCCUGCACAUGGCGUUCCUCGGAGACGCGGCGAAGAUCCCGUGGUGGAUGCGCGGCACCGAGUCAGUCCGCCCCGUCCACGCGGGCUCCACCGUGGCGCUCGCAUGGUUCGCCGGGCGGGAGGCCACGCACCUCGAGUCGCUCCCCGACGACGAGGUCAUCCACGCGCUCCACUCCACGCUGGAAUCAUUCCUCCCGGCCCCACCUCGCCGCUGCAGCGGGGCAGCCGCGGGGGCGACCCCACGGUGGAGGGUGAAGAGAAUCAAGAGGAGCGGGUGGGCGACGGACCCGCUGUUCCUCGGGUCCUACAGCUACGUCGCCGUCGGGUCAAGCGGCGAGGAUCUCGAUCGGAUGGCAGAGCCGCUCCCAAGCGGGCCGGAGGCCGGUGGGACGCCGCUGAGCGUGCUGUUCGCCGGCGAGGCGACGCACCGGACGCACUGCUCGACGACGCACGCGGCCUACCUGAGCGGCGUACGGGAGGCCGACCGGCUGCUGCAGCACUACCGCUGA